AGCCUCCCAAGUAGCUGGGAUUACAGGCAUGUACCAUCAUGCCUGGCUAAUUUUUGUAUUUUUACUAGAGACAGGGUCUUGCCAUGUUGCCCAGGUUGGUCUCAAGCUCCUGGCCUCAAGUGAUCCACCCACUUCAGCCUCCAAAAGUGCUGGGAUUACAGGCAUGAGCUACUGUAUCCAGCCCGAGUAAAAGAAAAAAAACAAAAAUGGCUUAAAGUAGAUAUGGGUUAAUAACUGGAGUGAUUUAAAUUUUAGUUGAAAAGAGGCUUAAGUUAGCUGAAAUGGAUAAGAAUGAUGUCAGGUGACAAAAAAUGAAUUUUCAUGUUGGUUUGAUGAGUGGUGAAUAUGGGAGAAGCAGGUCAGGGAAAAUAGGAUUCAGAGUGCAGAUGGAGGAAGCAAUUUCAGCUUUAAGUAGUGGCCCUUCCCUGAAAUAGCAAGAAAUGUGAACAGUAAUUAUUAUAGAGACUAUUAUUUAGAA
RNAcentral lists this long non-coding RNA (478 nucleotides) under Pan troglodytes (chimpanzee). Its description in RNAcentral is "long non-coding RNA NONPTRT013794". Lineage: Eukaryota; Metazoa; Chordata; Mammalia; Primates; Hominidae. The record is from RNAcentral.